Molecule: ribosomal RNA, 1051 nt
Filed under: uncultured crenarchaeote
Lineage: Archaea; Thermoproteati; Thermoproteota
Description: bacterial SSU rRNA
Rfam family: Archaeal small subunit ribosomal RNA
Source: RNAcentral
CGCGGGAUUGGGGGGACGGGGUGCAGCAGGCGCGAAACCUUUACAAUGCACGAAAGUGUGAUAAGGGAAUUCCAAGUGCUCAUGUUUUUCAUGGGCUUUUGCCAAGGGUAAAUACCUUGGAGAAUAAGCGGUGGGUAAGACUGGUGCCAGCAGCCGCGGUAACACCAGCGCCGCAAGUGGGGACCACUUUUAUUGGGCCUAAAGCGUCCGUAGCUGGUUGUAUAAAUCUCUUGUGAAAUCGUGUGACUUAAUCAUACGGAUGGCAGGAGACACUGUAUAACUUGAGACUGGGAGGGGUAUGGAGUAUUCCAGGGGAACCGGUAAAAUGGGAUAAUCCUUGGAGGACUACCUGUGGCGAAGGCGCCAUACCAGAACGGAUCUGACAGUGAGGGACGAAGGCCAGGGGAGCGAACCGGAUUAGAUACCCGAGUAGUCCUGGCAGUAAACGCUGCGAGCAAGGUGUUGCACAACCUUCGUGGUUGUGCAGUGUCGAAGCGAAGGCGAUAAGCUCGCCGCCUGGGAAGUAUGGUCGCAAGACUGAAACUUAAAGGAAUUGGCGGGGGAGCACCACAAGGGGUGCGGCGUGCGGUUUAAUCUAACUCAACGCAGAGAAUCUCACCAAGGGCGACGGCAAGAUGAAGGUCAGUCUAAAGGGCUUACCUAAUGAGCCGAGAGGUGGUGCAUGGCCGCCGUCAGCUCGUGCCGUAAGGUGUCCAGUUAAGUCUGGUAACGAGCGAGACCUGUACUCACAAUUGCUAGCAUGUCCUUUAGGAUGAAUGGGCACAAUGUGAGGACUGCCUUGGAAACAAGGAGGAAGGUGCAGACUACGGUAGGUCUGUAUGCCCCGAAUCUCUUGGGCUACACGCGCGCAACAAUGGUACGGACACUGGGAUGCAACUCCGAAAGGAGAAGCUAAACCUCGAAACCGUAUCCUAGUCCAGAUCGAGGACUGUAACUCGUCCUCGUGACGCCGGAAUCCCUAGUAAUCCCAUGUCAACAUCGUGGGGUGAAUACGUCCCUGCUCCUUGCACGAAUUCGCCGAAUCACUAGU